Molecule: ribosomal RNA, 468 nt
Filed under: uncultured bacterium
Lineage: Bacteria
Description: partial 16S ribosomal RNA
Rfam family: Bacterial small subunit ribosomal RNA
Source: RNAcentral
GAUGAACGCUGGCGGCGUGCUUAACACAUGCAAGUCGAACGGAAAGGCCCUGCUUUUGUGGGUUUCUCGAUUGGCGAACGGGUGAGUAACACGUGAGUAACCUCCCCUUGACUUUGUGAUAACUUCAGGGGACUGGGGCGAAUACCGGGUAGGAUCUCCUGCUGCGUGUGGGUGGUUGGUAAGUGUCGGCUUUUGUGGAUGGACUCGCUGGUUCUGGGCUUGUUUGUGUGGUAGUGGCUUUCCACGGCUUUGACGGGUAGCCGACAUGAGAGGGGGACCGGGCACCAUGGGACUGAGAUACGGAGCAGAAUCGUACGGGAGGCAGCAGUGGAGAGUAUUGCGCAACGGGCGGAAGCCUGAUGUAGAAACGCCGCGUGCGGGAUGCCGGCCUUUGGGUUGUAAACCGCUUUCGACUGUGCCGAAGCGUGCGUGACGGUAAUGGGUAAAGAAGCACCGGCUAACUACGUG